This 578-nucleotide long non-coding RNA is filed under the name Chrysolophus pictus (golden pheasant). RNAcentral describes it as "lncRNA (ENSCPIG00010011462.1)". Lineage: Eukaryota; Metazoa; Chordata; Aves; Galliformes; Phasianidae. The record is from RNAcentral.
CUUUGAGAAGAAGGGUGCAAGGGGAAAUGGCAGAGGUGGAGCAGCACACUGCUUAAAAAUGUUUAUGUAUACAGGACGGUUGGAGGAGUAAGGAAUCUCUGAGGAUACGCCCAUUUUUUCCCCUCUGUUUAUCAGUAUGUCUUAGCUGACAGGAUGAAUCCUCCCAGCUUGUCCAGCACACCUGAUGCAGCUCUGAAGCCACUUCUUUCAGGAAAAAAUAAGCAUCUGUUUAGUGCCUCAGAAAUAGAACCAAAAAAAGACUAGUGCUUCAUUGCUAACAAGAAAGUGGAGAUGACUCACUGCUACUAAAGGUUUAUUCCUUGUUAGCUUAUUCUGCCCUAACAGACCGACGAAUUGAAGAAGUCAGAAGAAGGGGAAAGGAAGGUGUUGUUUUUUUGUUUGUUUUUUUAGAGAAUGCAAUGAAUUUUUUUAUUACUUUACUACUCUUUUGUAAAGCUUGCGUUUGGUUAUGGUUCUCAAUGCAAGAAAAAGUUGGGAAUGAACCUCAUGAGUCUGCUGUCUAGGUAUCAACUUUGUCAUUACUGCAAAAAAGGUGGAGUGUUCUAUGUCUCUAAAAC